Molecule: long non-coding RNA, 2909 nt
Organism: Felis catus (domestic cat)
Lineage: Eukaryota; Metazoa; Chordata; Mammalia; Carnivora; Felidae
Exons: 2
Source: RefSeq, a predicted model, not a curated record
GGAUGCUUAACCGACUGAGCCACCCAGGUGCCCACCUCCUGUUCAUUUUUUAAUGACUUCAAAAAUUAAGGCAUAAAGCGUAUGGUUAUGUACAAUUCGAUGAAUUUUUAUAUCUGUAUACAUCACUGACGUUAUUCUAGAACAUCUCCAGCACCUUUUUCCCAUCCAUACCUAGCCUGCUCCCAGGUUACCACUAUUCUGAUCUUUAUCCGCACAGGUUAUUUUGCCUGUUUUUGAACUUGAUUUAUAGAUGGAAUCCUAUAGGUAUUUUCUUAUUUCUUUUGCUCAAAAUUAUGUCUGUGUAACUCAUGCAUACCGUUGUGUGAGUAGCAAUUGUUCAUUAUUUUGUAAUUGCUCUGCAGUUUUCAUUUUGCGAAUACACCAUAAUUUACUUACCCAUUCUUCUAGUGGUGGCCCAGAUGAUUCUCUAAACAGGCUAAGUAAAAGCAAUUUUCCCCAUUGCCCUCUAUGUAUUUGCCCUGUCUGUAAACCCCUUCUCUGAUCCCUGGUGCCCUGCAGGUCACUUUACGCCCUCUUUUUUCCCCCAACGACAACAAAAAAUAUUUGCUUUAUUAGACUGAAGAAAACCUCAAGGCUUGAACUUGAGCCCUGACCUCUCACCAAAGCUCAGAUCUACCUGUCUAUCUAAGCCCUGGCCAUUGUGUCAAACUCAGUAUAGCCAAAAUCAGAAUCCUCACUUCUGCACCCAAAUCCCUUCUCUGCCUGACUUCCUGACAGGGGUCCUUGUCCUUGCUCAGUGUCCUGGCACCCGGGGCACAGGAGGAUCUCUAGACAAGGGAUGGACCUUUUCUCCCACCAGGGUUGUCUUCAACCCUUCCAUCUGCCUGUCUGCCUGGCACCCUGUCUCGACUUCCCAGGGGGAAAUCUCACAUGCCGUAGAGCUCAGAACCCCUGCCUGAGAAGUCAUGUCUGUGGCUUAUUUUCCCAAAGCUCUUUUGGCGGUUUUAGGAUUUCUGAGAACGUGGGCAAAGACCCUAUGACAGGCGGGCAAUGGAUUCUUUCCUCUUUACCCUGCUCUCGAUCAUUCCCUCCAUGAUAUAUCUUUGAUGGCUCUCAGGACCUUCUCUGAGAGCUAACGCUGAGAGAAGAGUGUGGGCUUCUUCGGGGCAGGGACUCCAGCAUUCAUUUGUUACCUACCACCCCAGCCAGGUGACAGGUGUGUGGAUGUGUGGCUAGCGUUCCCUGUUUCUGACAUUGGUGCCACUUAGUCAUUCAAGUCUUAACACUUUGUCUCUCUCUCUCCCUCCCAUAGCAAAUGAGCUACCAAUUCCCAAAAGCAAUCUUUCUAACAUUUCCAAUGUCCAUUCUAGAAUCCUCCAAUUCCCAUACAUAUUCUAACCCAGGCUCUUAGCAUCUGGAUUCUAAACCACUUACAGUAGCUUCUGACCCACUAGUUUCUUCCAACCUGGAAUGCGUUGUGUGCAUACCAUUUCCAGAUAUUUGGUCCUUAGCCACUGCUUUCUACUCCAACACUGUCCCUUGCUCAAAAAUCUUCAGUGCCCACUACUCAUGGGAUAAUAUCCAGACUCCUCAACUUGUUGUUCUAGACCUUGCAUUUUGUUAAAAAAAAAAAUAAUGUUUACUAUUUAUUUUUGAGACAGAGAGCACACAGAAUCUGAAGCAGCCUCCAGGCCUGAGCUGUCAGAACAGAGCCUGACACAGGGCUCAAACCCAUGAAACCUGAGAUCGUGAACUGAGCUGAAGUCAGAUGCUCAACCGACUGAACCACCCAGGCACCCCUUGACCUUGCAUUUCUGAUCUGAUCUUAGGUGUCUGAACUUUUCUCCCCCCUUCCCGUCUGUAAGCCUAUACUCUAGAUCCCACAUGGGCCCUCCACAUCCCACUCUCACACCCCCUGCCUUUGCUCACCUCAUUCUCCCACCUCCAUGAGCCCCCACCGUCCCUUCUGGACUGCCCUCUGCCCCACUCAGCUCCUCAAGGACCCAGUGACCAGGCUGCUCAGCCACUCAGAGACCUUUCCCACCUGCUUACUGGUUCCAGCCUGCAUGUCUCCUCUCCCUGCAGUGUGUCGGUUUCUGGAGCCAGCGCUUGUGUGGUCUUCAUUCGUCUUCGUCCCCAGCAUGGAGGUCAGAGCCCUGCACUUGUCAGGUUCUCAGGAAAUGUUUGUCACCUCAACUUUUGCUGCAUAGGCUGAGCUGGCUUCUUAACCCCCUCCCGGACUUGCAGCCUUGGCCCUAUGACCCCAGUGGGGGGCUUCUCCCGCAUGGAUCCCCCCAAGACUGAGCAGGCUCUGGGCAGGUGCCGAGAGAACUCUUUGGACCCUCCAGAUUUCCAUCCCGGGUCAUGUCGGGAACUAUACUUACGUGACUGUGCCCUGUGUUCAGUUUGGCUCAUGAGACAGGGAAGGUUCCCUCUUGAGACUUGACUUUUGCAGCCAAAUUCCCCUCAAUGUGUUUUCAAACCUAAGCAGAUGCCAGUUUUAAGAACUAAAGCAAGGUCGUCAGGGAAACAGGGCUUCCAGGAGUAACGGAAGUGCUGAGUCUUCUCUGUGCAAAUGAGAUCUGCAGUGCCGAUCAAGUCCCGGGGACUGGUGACGGUGGCCCUGCAGUCCCUGUCCCCGACUCUUCCCAAGCUCCCCUCUGCCGCAUUUCCAUGUCACCCAAUGCAGAGGCAGCAGAAGGACAACAGUGUGUGCUGAGGGGACACGUUUGCCCGGCUGUCAAACAGCUGUCACAUCCGCCCUUGGGAAUGGACCUUCUGGGAGCCCAAGCCGUCAUUCCUGCUGACGCCACACACGGACCAGCUUUGCUGGUUCAAAGGCCUUCAAUUCCCAGUCCCAGUUUCCUGCCACCUUGACUGACUCCGGUCACGAUGAAUGUGGAUCUACAUUUAUUUAAAAAAUAAACAAAUGACUUACCGUGUUUUGA